GCAAGUCACUAGAUCAUCUUUCCCAUUAUAUCCUCAUAAAAAAUUGAAAAAUUAUAAACUAGAUAAAGAGGAAGAGGUAUGAGAAUUAGAAUUAAGUUGUGUCUCCAUGUAAAGACUACUCAUUCAAGAAAUCCUGUGUCUAAACUCAAGCCAGUUCCCCCCCCCUGGUCCAGUCCUGAGCUCUCCAGUUGCUUGCGCGACACGUAUAAA
RNAcentral lists this long non-coding RNA (210 nucleotides) under Bos taurus (domestic cattle). Its description in RNAcentral is "long non-coding RNA NONBTAT016381". Lineage: Eukaryota; Metazoa; Chordata; Mammalia; Artiodactyla; Bovidae. The record is from RNAcentral.